Molecule: ribosomal RNA, 164 nt
Filed under: Synotis karelinioides
Lineage: Eukaryota; Viridiplantae; Streptophyta; Magnoliopsida; Asterales; Asteraceae
Description: 5.8S ribosomal RNA
Rfam family: 5.8S ribosomal RNA
About the family: 5.8S ribosomal RNA (5.8S rRNA) is a component of the large subunit of the eukaryotic ribosome. It is transcribed by RNA polymerase I as part of the 45S precursor that also contains 18S and 28S rRNA. Functionally, it is thought that 5.8S rRNA may be involved in ribosome translocation.
Source: RNAcentral
CAAACGACUCUCGGCAACGGAUAUCUCGGCUCACGCAUCGAUGAAGAACGUAGCAAAAUGCGAUACUUGGUGUGAAUUGCAGAAUCCCGUGAACCAUCGAGUUUUUGAACGCAAGUUGCGCCCGAAGCCUUUUGGCCAAGGGCACGUCUGUCUGGGCGUCACAC